Dendronephthya gigantea is the source of this 449-nucleotide long non-coding RNA. RefSeq lists it as uncharacterized. The transcript is spliced from 3 exons. The record is from RefSeq and is a predicted model, not a curated record. NCBI's taxonomy places the organism in Eukaryota, Metazoa, Cnidaria, Anthozoa, Malacalcyonacea, Nephtheidae.
GAAACGUGUUCUGCUGACCUGGCAAACCCUAUUCAACCAAGUUCCAGAUGGUAUAUCAGUAAUUGGUUAAGAACUUGCACAGAGUUCACUUCAAGACAAACUAUGCAUGGAAAGUUUCUAUUUUUGGAUCCUGGAUGUGUUUCUGUUGUUGGUUACCUUCCACACGAGAUGAUUGGAACGAUGAUGUAUGAAUACAUUCACGUCGAUGAUUUUGAAAAUAUCUACAACAGCUUUGAAAAGUAGAGAACGCCCAAUGAACGAAAUAUUACGGAUGAUCAUGAUCAUUACCCAACCAAUGACUUUCAACAGAGUAUGAAGAAGUAUGAAACAUUCUGCUCUAAUGCUAUGAAUUAUAAUAAAUAAACGAUGGCUUUAGGUUAAAUAUGCGUAAUCUUAUAAAAAGAUUACCUUUGGGAUGGUCUUACAUAGGGAUUAUAUAAAAAGUAUUA